ACACGACUACAUUAGACUACCCUGUAGUCCUAGCCGUAAACGAUACUCGCUAGGUGUCGGCCACGGUGCGACCGUUGUCGGUGCCGUAGGGAAGCCGUGAAGCGAGCCACCUGGGAAGUACGGCCGCAAGGCUGAAACUUAAAGGAAUUGGGCGGGGGAGCACAACAACGGGUGGAGCUUGCGGUUUAAUUGGAUUCAACGCCGGAAAUCUUACCGGGACCGACAGCAACAUGAAGGCCAAGCUGAAGACUUUGCCGGAUUAGCUG
Molecule: ribosomal RNA, 266 nt
Filed under: uncultured archaeon
Lineage: Archaea
Description: partial 16S ribosomal RNA
Rfam family: Archaeal small subunit ribosomal RNA
Source: RNAcentral